Molecule: ribosomal RNA, 607 nt
Filed under: Candida tropicalis
Lineage: Eukaryota; Fungi; Ascomycota; Pichiomycetes; Serinales; Debaryomycetaceae
Description: eukaryotic LSU rRNA
Rfam family: Eukaryotic large subunit ribosomal RNA
Source: RNAcentral
AAAAAGCGGAGGAAAAGAAACCAACAGGGAUUGCCUUAGUAGCGGCGAGUGAAGCGGCAAAAGCUCAAAUUUGAAAUCUGGCUCUUUCAGAGUCCGAGUUGUAAUUUGAAGAAGGUAUCUUUGGGUCUGGCUCUUGUCUAUGUUUCUUGGAACAGAACGUCACAGAGGGUGAGAAUCCCGUGCGAUGAGAUGAUCCAGGCCUAUGUAAAGUUCCUUCGAAGAGUCGAGUUGUUUGGGAAUGCAGCUCUAAGUGGGUGGUAAAUUCCAUCUAAAGCUAAAUAUUGGCGAGAGACCGAUAGCGAACAAGUACAGUGAUGGAAAGAUGAAAAGAACUUUGAAAAGAGAGUGAAAAAGUACGUGAAAUUGUUGAAAGGGAAGGGCUUGAGAUCAGACUUGGUAUUUUGUAUGUUACUUCUUCGGGGGUGGCCUCUACAGUUUAUCGGGCCAGCAUCAGUUUGGGCGGUAGGAGAAUUGCGUUGGAAUGUGGCACGGCUUCGGUUGUGUGUUAUAGCCUUCGUCGAUACUGCCAGCCUAGACUGAGGACUGCGGUUUAUACCUAGGAUGUUGGCAUAAUGAUCUUAAGUCGCCCGUCUUGAACACGGAACCC